UAUCAUCUAGUGAUGAGAUUAUUUUUUAAUUCAUAUUAAUAAUGUUGAAAUCUUAACAUGCAUCACCAUCUGAAACUUUAG
Small nucleolar RNA from Scaptodrosophila lebanonensis, 81 nucleotides. Lineage: Eukaryota; Metazoa; Arthropoda; Insecta; Diptera; Drosophilidae. The record is from RefSeq and is a predicted model, not a curated record.